CCUACGGGUGGCAGCAGUGAGGAAUAUUGGUCAAUGGCCGGAAGGCUGAACCAGCCAUGCCGCGUGAAGGUCAGUGCCCUAUGGGCGUUAAACUUCUUUUGUGCGGGAGCAAUAAUGGUCACGUGUGGCCAGACGAGAGUACCGUACGAAUAAGCAUCGGCUAACUCCGUUCCAGCAGCCGCGGUAAUACGGGGGAUGCAAGCGUUAUCCGGCUUUAUUGGGUUUAAAGGGUGCGUAGGCUGUGAGGUAAGUCAGCGGGGAAAUGCCCCCGCUCAACGGGGUGAAGUGCCAUUGAUACUGCCUUGCUGGAAUGCGGAUGCCGUGGGAGGAAUGUGUGGUGUAGCGGUGAAAGGCAGAGAUAUCACACAGAACAACGAUUGCGAAGGAAUCUCACGAAUCCGCGAUUGACGCUGAUGCACGAAAGCGUGGGUAUCAAACAGGAUUAGAUACCCUUGUAGUC
RNAcentral lists this ribosomal RNA (460 nucleotides) under uncultured bacterium. Its description in RNAcentral is "partial 16S ribosomal RNA". It matches the Rfam family "Bacterial small subunit ribosomal RNA", at positions 338 to 795 of the family's 1533-position model. The record is from RNAcentral.